CUUUUUUUUUUUUUUUUUUGGGGAAAUGAAGACAAUUUGUUUGCUCUCUUAUUUGUUCACUUUCUUGGAAAUAAGUGCUACUUGAAUAAUUUUCCCAAGGUACUGCAUCCUUAAAGAAUUAUACAUAUGGCACUUACACCACCUUUUUCCUUACAUAAAAGAGAAUUUUACGUUUACUUGUGAAUUUGGAUUGUACUUCGUUAAUAGUGCUAAUGAACCAAAAAGAAAAGUCGCCUUAGUCAAUUUAAAAGUUAUUAAAUUAAUCCAUAUGAGCAUGCACAUUAUUAAGGGCAUGUAGUUUAGAAAAACAGAGGGUCAGUCGUUGUAAAUUUAUGUACUGUUUUGGAAUUUGGAUUGUUCUGUCAAUAGCCUGUUUAUGCUAUAACAGCUUAUUCUUUUUGAUAAUGGAUGACACUUGAGUUGACCUGAAGUUGGUGAGAACAUGCUGUCUUUUAAUACGCAAACUCUCCUCUUAUUAAAUUCCUGCUCUCAUUACCAAGAUUUCCAAGAGCCUAAUUAGUGAGUGUUUCCUGUUCUGAUGUGCUCUAAUCUGUUUAUGUAAAUUUGAGGAUAAAUGGCAAUAUGGCAGCUUAUGUCUUGUAUUUGUCAUCAAAUUUACCAGCCUUAUAUUUGUAGCUAACUUUUUAUGGUAUCUUUGUGAUCACCUCUAAUUCCGUGCUAUUUUUAUGCAGUUUUAGCUAUUGUUUUGGU
RNAcentral lists this unclassified non-coding RNA (711 nucleotides) under Hevea brasiliensis (rubber tree). The record is from RNAcentral. Lineage: Eukaryota; Viridiplantae; Streptophyta; Magnoliopsida; Malpighiales; Euphorbiaceae.